GGCCAGCUUCUAAUGGUCGG
This 20-nucleotide non-coding RNA is filed under the name Arabidopsis thaliana (thale cress). Lineage: Eukaryota; Viridiplantae; Streptophyta; Magnoliopsida; Brassicales; Brassicaceae. The record is from RNAcentral.